GUAGGGUGCGAGCGUUGUCCGGAUUUAUUGGGCGUAAAGGGCUCGUAGGUGGUUGAUCGCGUCGGAAGUGUAAUCUUGGGGCUUGACCCUGAGCGUGCUUUCGAUACGGGUUGACUUGAGGAAGGUAGGGGAGAAUGGAAUUCCUGGUGGAGCGGUGGAAUGCGCAGAUAUCAGGAGGAACACCAGUGGCGAAGGCGGUUCUCUGGGCCUUUCCUGACGCUGAGGAGCGAAAGCGUGGGGAGCGAACAGGGCUUAGAUACCCUGGUAGUCCACGCUGUAAACGGUGGGUACUAGGUGUGGGUCCAUUCCCACGGGUUCCGCGCCGUAGCUAACGCUUUAAGUACCCCGCCUGGGGAGUACGGCCGCAAGGCUA
Molecule: ribosomal RNA, 373 nt
Filed under: uncultured organism
Description: partial 16S ribosomal RNA
Rfam family: Bacterial small subunit ribosomal RNA
Source: RNAcentral